UCCGGNUCUUCCGCGCCGUAGCUAACGCAUUAAGUGCCCCGCCUGGGGAGUACGGCCGCAAGGCUAAAACUCAAAGGAAUUGACGGGGGCCCGCACAAGCGGCGGAGCAUGCGGAUUAAUUCGAUGCAACGCGAAGAACCUUACCAAGGCUUGACAUGUGCCGGUCGGCUCCGGAGACGGGGUUUCCUCCUUGUGGGGCCGGUUCACAGGUGGUGCAUGGUUGUCGUCAGCUCGUGUCGUGAGAUGUUGGGUUAAGUCCCGCAACGAGCGCAACCCUUGUCCCGUGUUGCCAGCACGUUGUGGUGGGGACUCGCGGGAGACUGCCGGGGUCAACUCGGAGGAAGGUGGGGAUGACGUCAAAUCAUCAUGCCCCUUAUGUCUUGGGCUUCACGCAUGCUACAAUGGCCGGUACAGAGGGCUGCGAUACCGUGAGGUGGAGCGAAUCCCUUAAAGCCGGUCUCAGUUCGGAUCGGUGUCUGCAACUCGACACCGUGAAGUUGGAGUCGCUAGUAAUCGCAGAUCAGCAACGCUGCGGUGAAUACGUUCUCGGGCCUUGUACACACCGCCCGUCACGUCAUGAAAGUCGGCAACACCCGAAGCC
Molecule: ribosomal RNA, 601 nt
Filed under: uncultured bacterium
Lineage: Bacteria
Description: bacterial SSU rRNA
Rfam family: Bacterial small subunit ribosomal RNA
Source: RNAcentral